RNAcentral lists this small RNA (18 nucleotides) under Arabidopsis thaliana (thale cress). RNAcentral's name for it is "ATSL140640". Lineage: Eukaryota; Viridiplantae; Streptophyta; Magnoliopsida; Brassicales; Brassicaceae. The record is from RNAcentral.
UCUUCUUUCUUCUUCUUU